RNAcentral lists this microRNA (22 nucleotides) under Bombyx mori (domestic silkworm). RNAcentral describes it as "bmo-miR-2803". The record is from miRBase by way of RNAcentral. Lineage: Eukaryota; Metazoa; Arthropoda; Insecta; Lepidoptera; Bombycidae.
UGGACGUUACCAAUGCCAGGGA